GAACGGGUGAGUAAUAUAUCGGAACGUGCCCAAUCGUGGGGGAUAACGCAGCAAAAGCUGUGCUAAUACCGCAUACGAUCUACGGAUGAAGGUGGGGGACCUUCGGGCCUCGCGCGAUUGGAGCGGCCGAUGUUAGAUUAGGUAGUUGGUGGGGUAAAGGCUCACCAAGCCGACGAUCUAUAGCUGGUCUGAGAGGACGAUCAGCCACACUGGAACUGAGACACGGCCCAGACUCC
This 236-nucleotide ribosomal RNA is filed under the name uncultured bacterium. Its description in RNAcentral is "partial 16S ribosomal RNA". It matches the Rfam family "Bacterial small subunit ribosomal RNA", at positions 100 to 339 of the family's 1533-position model. The record is from RNAcentral.